This 70-nucleotide transfer RNA is filed under the name Pachypanchax playfairii (golden panchax). RNAcentral's name for it is "tRNA-Trp". It matches the Rfam family "tRNA". Rfam says of the family: Transfer RNA (tRNA) molecules are approximately 80 nucleotides in length. Their secondary structure includes four short double-helical elements and three loops (D, anti-codon, and T loops). The record is from RNAcentral. Lineage: Eukaryota; Metazoa; Chordata; Actinopteri; Cyprinodontiformes; Aplocheilidae.
GGAGCUUAGGUUAACCCAAGACCAAGGGCCUUCAAAGCCCUAAGCGGAUGUGAAAACCCUCCAGCCCCUG